Callithrix jacchus (white-tufted-ear marmoset) is the source of this 66-nucleotide small nuclear RNA. Its record names the gene U7. It matches the Rfam family "U7 small nuclear RNA". Rfam says of the family: Animal histone pre-mRNAs are spliced by a different mechanism than nuclear pre-mRNAs and self-splicing introns. The record is from Ensembl. NCBI's taxonomy places the organism in Eukaryota, Metazoa, Chordata, Mammalia, Primates, Cebidae.
AUGUGUUACAGCUCUUUUAAAAUUUGUCUGGCAGACUUUCCAGCUAAACCCCCAUGGAAAAACAAA